UUCAGCGUAAAUCAAUAGAACGGCGCGCGAUGUCCCAGCCCGUUCUGUUCUCUGCAUGCAAAUAAGCGCUUGAGCUUUGGCCAUGACAGUGCGCUGUGAUGCCCUUAAUUUCGUAUCCUAUUCAUUGUAUGUAACAGCUACUCUCUCCAAAUCAAGCCAUAUCGACCACAGACGAAAUAGAAAGCGGGAAAUGCAGCCUCAGCAAAUCCAACUGCUUUUAUGACCCAAUGCCGAGGUAAUCAGAUCAAUUUCAUGGGUUACGGGAUUCUGCCUAUACCAACUCAGGUGGUAAUAGAUCAUUACAAUCCUUGAUCUUCGGUAUUUCUGGGAAACAUGAGUCUCUCCAUCCCUCCCUCACUUUUAGUAUAUGAAGCGGAGGUGACAUUUAAGUGCCAAGUGGUGCCAGGCGAACCACUCGGCUGCUACCGUGGAAUGUUGCUAAUGUUGGCCCUGAGCACCAAGAACACACACACCCAGACUCAAAUCGAAACAAUCCAUGCCCAUGUUAUUUCACCAGCGGGCUCAAACUAACAGUGUG
This is a long non-coding RNA of Osmerus eperlanus (European smelt), 538 nucleotides long. RefSeq lists it as uncharacterized. The record is from RefSeq and is a predicted model, not a curated record. The transcript has 3 exons. NCBI's taxonomy places the organism in Eukaryota, Metazoa, Chordata, Actinopteri, Osmeriformes, Osmeridae.